AGCACGAAGGAUGCCCGUGCAUAUUUUAUUAUAUGAUUGCUCUGGUGAGGAUGAGAGUAAAAACGUGAAGGGUGAUACCGUGUAUUUAUUGAUUUUCUAGGAUUCUUUGUUGAUAUCUGAGUUCUAUUGUUUCUCUCCUUUACUUGUUGUCAUUAUAUUUGAGAUCGAUAUCUCCCCCGCAGCAUGCUCCCUCUCCCAGACUUGACUGUUUAUUUCUGUAUUUCUUUUUCGCUGUAUAUAUUUGAAUUGCACAUGUUUAAUUAGUAUUCUGGUCCUAUCCUCGUUAUUACUUCGCCGAGGUUAGGCUAGGCACUUACCAGCACAUGUGUUGGUUGUACUGAUACUACACUCAGCACUAUAUGCAGAUCCCGGAGCAACUCUUGGACCGUAAUUUGGAGGCUACAUUCAGUCUAUGCGGAGAUCCAAGGUAGACCUGCAGGUGUUUGCAUGCCCUGGCGUCUCCCUCUAUCCUUAUUUCCUGUUUUAUUUUCCUUAUAUUCAUAAACACUAUAUUGAUAUUUUCUUCAAACUUUAUAUGUAGUAAAUCUUAGACCGUCUGUGACACUGUGACACCAGGUGUUGGGGUGAUUAAUGCUUAAGCAGUUGUGAUAGAUGUAGAUUUCAUAUAUGUUAUUGUUUUCUUUCGCUUAAUUUAAAAUUUCCGUUGUUUAUAUGUUAUCGCUUUAUACUUAUUAAAAAGGAAAUAAAUAAAAAAUGUAGUUAUUACUUUAA
Molecule: long non-coding RNA, 732 nt
Filed under: Nicotiana benthamiana
Lineage: Eukaryota; Viridiplantae; Streptophyta; Magnoliopsida; Solanales; Solanaceae
Description: long non-coding RNA (NBEN_LNC002780)
Source: RNAcentral